This 603-nucleotide ribosomal RNA is filed under the name uncultured fungus. RNAcentral's name for it is "eukaryotic LSU rRNA". The stretch from base 169 to 320 matches the Rfam family "5.8S ribosomal RNA". The record is from RNAcentral. Lineage: Eukaryota; Fungi.
CAUUAACAAAUCCAUAUUUUAUGCCGCAAGGCGUAGAUAUAAAUUCGCUUGGCUGGCGCAAGCUGCCAAGUUGAAAGAUUAUGUAUGUGCUGUUGUCGCGAGAUGACGGUAUGUAAAUAAGUGUAUGUUGUGUAGACAAGUGUGUGUAAAAACAAAAAAUUAAUUGACAACUUUUAACAAUGGAUCUCUAGGCUCUUGCAGCGAUGAAGAACGCAGUAAAGUGCGAAAAUUGAUGCGAAUUGCACGAAUCUGUGAGUCAUCUAAUCUUUGAACGCAAAUGGCACUCUUGUGUAAGCAAGAGUAUGUCUGUUUGAGAAUCGCAAACCCGAUCUACUCUAGAUAGAGUUAGGUAUUGGCUUUAGGACGCGCAAGCGGUCUUUAGCUUGAAUGUAUUAAGGCUGAUGAGUUCCCAAUGGUGGCCUCAAUGUGUGCUAGCGGACAGAUGUUUCGAUGUCACAUUGACGGUUCCAAUGCAAGCUCUAUAAACGGCCUCUUGCUGGUGCUGGUGGGAGGAGGGAGACGCCGACGUGGUCAAACAUAUGUCGUCAUCAUCAUCCUCACGACAGCAUCGCAUCCAUCUAUUACGAUCUCAAAUCAGGCAAG